RNAcentral lists this long non-coding RNA (2121 nucleotides) under Lepisosteus oculatus (spotted gar). Its description in RNAcentral is "lncRNA (ENSLOCG00000021228.1)". The record is from RNAcentral. Lineage: Eukaryota; Metazoa; Chordata; Actinopteri; Semionotiformes; Lepisosteidae.
CUUAGAAACAAGCUGUCUGAAAAUGGCACCCAACACCAAGACGUUUGUCGAGUAAAUAAGGAAAUGACGACAAUACGUCAGUACUCAUUGUUUUUAUUGCAGGGGAGUUAGAUCUGAUAAACUGCUGCUGUUGUAGGUCCACAAAUAGGUCUCUUCUGCCUGCUUGUUGUCUCCUGUUUCAGCACAAGGUCACAGAACCUGACUCUCCUCUGCUUGUGUCCGGUCCCUCAAGGGGAACCGGUCUAUUUUUGUCUUCCUUCUGUAAAGGUUUAACUGCACUGAACAUUUCACUUGCAGUGCAAGAAGUGUACAACUGUUAAAAAAAUCCUGAAACACCGAGUGCAGCAGAGAGACGCAGACAGGACAAGCUGCGCCAGUACUGCAAUCUGGAACGCCUGAGUGAAGAGGAAUGGAGAUGUGACAGGAGCAGGGGAUUCUGGGUAGGUCACAGAUGGGCAGUCGCGCGUGUGACAGGAAAAAGCCCACCCACCCCAGGAGCACUUAAAGCUGAACUGCUGAUUGAAGAAGCGACAUUUCUUAUUUUACCUCGACCAGUGGCAGAUUAAGUCUCCCAAUGGAAAAGUACUUACUGAUUUGCAUUGUUUCGCUUUUCACACCAGGUAGUCUUUACAUAGAUGUAGAUGUACGUAGAUGCGCCUUCUGCUCAUUAGUGCUAUCAUGGCGGUUAUCGGUGUUUUGUUGCAGUACGAUCUCGAGCACCUGUCCUGAUGUUACAACACAAUGUUUUUCUUUUUCAGCUGCUGUACGCUGUGACUCCAUCUCUCCUCGGCAGCCAAAGGUCUCUGGGGAGGAAGAGGGAUCAGUGUCUCUUCAAUGUUCUUUCUCCACAAGCAGUGCUGGAUAUGCUCUGUACUGGUGACUUUAGCUCUGAUAAUCCCAGGAUUGUUUUCACAGAGGUCCAAACCCUCUCAGUGGCUCUUCUGUUUCACUGCGGAUGGCUCAUUAGAGGAUUCCUUCAUCCACCCACUUUCCACCCACUUUUUUCUGCUUCUUCCUACUCAGGGUCACGGAGGGGCUGGAUCCUAUCCCAGCGAGCAACGGGCACAAGGCAGGGUACACCCUUGACAAGGCAGAAACAAACACGCACACUCUCACACCAGGGCUGAGUUUCCCAGAAGCCAUUCGAUCUACCAGUAUGUCUUUGGACUGGGUGAGGAAACCAGAGUACCCAGAUGAAGGCAGAGCCUUGUGGACAAGGAGAGAGCAUGCAAACUCCACUCAGAUAGGACCACACAUCUGGAAUCAAACCUAGAGCUCCAACUCUGUGAGGCAGAAAUGCUCAGAACUAUGUCAACGUGACGCCCAAGUCUUAAUCCUUGUUCACUCAAAUAUAACACAGGGAACAGCAGGUGACCCCUAUCUGGCAUAAAAGAUCUAGCAUGGUCUCUCUCUGGAAUAAAGAACAAACCAAAUCUUGAAAAUAACUGUUUCAAAGGUCAUGAAAUACUGAAUGAGUCUUUUCAGCUCAAAGGCCUAAGAAUGCGAGGCUGCAUCUCUACUGAAGAAACUUAUCUGUUCACACUCUAUGAACAUCAUUCCAGCCUGGACUCAGACCAUUUCACAGCACAGAGACAGCCUGCACAUGUGCUCAAUGUUUCAGAACAAACAGCAGCUAAAGCUUCUGCUCUUUCUUGAUUUUGACAAGUCUAGUCAACAGCUUUUCCGCAAGCAGAAUUAAGAUUAUAGAAAACAACUCAUCCCUGUGAAAAAGCUUGUUCCCCAUUUCAAGAGGCAUGAGGAAUAAAAAUGCAAGACCUUGAGGCUACUGCUGUACCAUGGGCCUGUGACAUUACAGGACAUGAUAGUGACUGAACUGAGGUGUAAGAGAAGGGGGUGGUGUAGGACUCUAUAUCAAAUAUAACCUGCUAACUAGACAACUGAAGACAGAAGGGAAAGACUGAGGUCAAUGUGUUUAGCUGUGAAAUGAAAAUGGGUUAAGAUGGUUAUUGUCCACUUUCUGACCUAGUUUGUAAAGGUACAAUAUAGUGAAGAUCAUUUUUGCUAACUUAAUCUUUUCAAGCAACCAGGAAAUUCUCCAGGAAUAACAGCAGGCAGAGACACUGGGAAACUGUAACCAUAAUAUGCAAUCACGUGGAGUAU